GUACCUUUAACUUAACGGUAGAGUUGCUGUUUUCGGCACAGUCGGUAUUGGUUCGAUCCCAAUAGGGUACU
Non-coding RNA from Apiotrichum porosum, 71 nucleotides. The record is from the annotation of a RefSeq genome assembly. NCBI's taxonomy places the organism in Eukaryota, Fungi, Basidiomycota, Tremellomycetes, Trichosporonales, Trichosporonaceae.